UCUCUCCGAAAUAGCUUUAGGGCUAGCCUCAAGUGAUGAUUAUUGGAGGUAGAGCACUGUUUGGACGAGGGGCCCCUCUCGGGUUACCGAAUUCAGACAAACUCCGAAUGCCAAUUAAUUUAACUUGGGAGUCAGAACAUGGGUGAUAAGGUCCGUGUUCGAAAGGGAAACAGCCCAGACCACCAGCUAAGGUCCCAAAAUAUAUGUUAAGUGGAAAAGGAUGUGGCGUUGCCCAGACAACUAGGAUGUUGGCUUAGAAGCAGCCAUCAUUUAAAGAGUGCGUAAUAGCUCACUAGUCGAGUGACACUGCGCCGAAAAUGUACCGGGGCUAAACAUAUUACCGAAGCUGUGGAUUGUCCUUUGGACAAUGGUAGGAGAGCGUUCUAAGGGCGUUGAAGCAUGAUCGUAAGGACAUGUGGAGCGCUUAGAAGUGAGAAUGCCGGUGUGAGUAGCGAAAGACGGGUGAGAAUCCCGUCCACCGAUUGACUAAGGUUUCCAGAGGAAGGCUCGUCCGCUCUGGGUUAGUCGGGUCCUAAGCUGAGGCCGACAGGCGUAGGCGAUGGAUAACAGGUUGAUAUUCCUGUACCACCUAUAAUCGUUUUAAUCGAUGGGGGGACGCAGUAGGAUAGGCGAAGCGUGCGAUUGGAUUGCACGUCUAAGCAGUAAGGCUGAGUAUUAGGCAAAUCCGGUACUCGUUAAGGCUGAGCUGUGAUGGGGAGAAGACAUUGAGUCUUCGAGUCGUUGAUUUCACACUGCCGAGAAAAGCCUCUAGAUAGAAAAUAGGUGCCCGUACCGCAAACCGACACAGGUAGUCAAGAUGAGAAUUCUAAGGUGAGCGAGCGAACUCUCGUUAAGGAACUCGGCAAAAUGACCCCGUAACUUCGGGAGAAGGGGUGCUCUUUAGGGUUAACGCCCAGAAGAGCCGCAGUGAAUAGGCCCAAGCGACUGUUUAUCAAAAACACAGGUCUCUGCUAAACCGUAAGGUGAUGUAUAGGGGCUGACGCCUGCCCGGUGCUGGAAGGUUAAGAGGAGUGGUUAGCUUCUGCGAAGCUACGAAUCGAAGCCCCAGUAAACGGCGGCCGUAACUAUAACGGUCCUAAGGUAGCGAAAUUCCUUGUCGGGUAAGUUCCGACCCGCACGAAAGGCGUAACGAUUUGGGCACUGUCUCAACGAGAGACUCGGUGAAAUCAUAGUACCUGUGAAGAUGCAGGUUACCCGCGACAGGACGGAAAGACCCCGUGGAGCUUUACUGUAGCCUGAUAUUGAAAUUCGGCACAGCUUGUACAGGAUAGGUAGGAGCCUUUGAAACGUGAGCGCUAGCUUACGUGGAGGCGCUGGUGGGAUACUACCCUAGCUGUGUUGGCUUUCUAACCCGCACCACUUAUCGUGGUGGGAGACAGUGUCAGGCGGGCAGUUUGACUGGGGCGGUCGCCUCCUAAAAGGUAACGGAGGCGCUCAAAGGUUCCCUCAGAAUGGUUGGAAAUCAUUCAUAGAGUGUAAAGGCAUAAGGGAGCUUGACUGCGAGACCUACAAGUCGAGCAGGGUCGAAAGACGGACUUAGUGAUCCGGUGGUUCCGCAUGGAAGGGCCAUCGCUCAACGGAUAAAAGCUACCCCGGGGAUAACAGGCUUAUCUCCCCCAAGAGUUCACAUCGACGGGGAGGUUUGGCACCUCGAUGUCGGCUCAUCGCAUCCUGGGGCUGUAGUCGGUCCCAAGGGUUGGGCUGUUCGCCCAUUAAAGCGGUACGCGAGCUGGGUUCAGAACGUCGUGAGACAGUUCGGUCCCUAUCCGUCGUGGGCGUAGGAAAUUUGAGAGGAGCUGUCCUUAGUACGAGAGGACCGGGAUGGACAUACCUCUGGUGUACCAGUUGUCGUGCCAACGGCAUAGCUGGGUAGCUAUGUGUGGACGGGAUAAGUGCUGAAAGCAUCUAAGCAUGAAGCCCCCCUCAAGAUGAGAUUUCCCAACUUCGGUUAUAAGAUCCCUCAAAGAUGAUGAGGUUAAUAGGUUCGAGGUGGAAGCAUGGUGACAUGUGGAGCUGACGAAUACUAAUCGAUCGAAGACUUAAUCAA
This 2068-nucleotide ribosomal RNA is filed under the name Staphylococcus aureus W46839. RNAcentral's name for it is "bacterial LSU rRNA". It matches the Rfam family "Bacterial large subunit ribosomal RNA", at positions 853 to 2925 of the family's 2925-position model. The record is from RNAcentral. Lineage: Bacteria; Bacillati; Bacillota; Bacilli; Caryophanales; Staphylococcaceae.